This is a long non-coding RNA of Columba livia (rock pigeon), 986 nucleotides long. RefSeq lists it as uncharacterized. Lineage: Eukaryota; Metazoa; Chordata; Aves; Columbiformes; Columbidae. The transcript is spliced from 2 exons. The record is from RefSeq and is a predicted model, not a curated record.
CCAGCUCUGACAAGGGAGGACAAGCUCCUACCUUCACAAAACCCCUUCCUGUCGAUCUGGGCGCUGACCGACACGCGUCCGUCGGGGAUGAACAUACAAGACACCUUCUUCUCCUUCUUGGCAGCAACCGGGGACUGUGGAGAAAUCAGGGUAAAGCUGCACUUACCAACAAUUCCGGAGUGUUCACGUCGACAGGAUCCAUCACCUCGAAGCGUUUCUUUAUCUCCUGGGUGGGGAAGGACGGGCGCUCCAGAAAAGCCUUCACCCAAUAAUCCACGCAGCCGUACUUGCCCUUGAACGUGGUACCCAGAGGCCUGCGGGAAGAGACGCUUCUUAGACACGUCUCAAGCAACAGAAGCGCUUUUCUGUAACAAUCUGAUUUAAUUUUCUUUUUAAGAGGCAACGCUCGGCUCGUACUCACCCCUGCGGGAGCUCGAAUCCGAACUUGUACUCGUAUUUAUUGCCAGGUCUCAGGAUUACGGAGCCGUCCCCAUCUGGGAAAAGGGAAGAAAGAGGAAGGGAAACGUCAGCUGAAGCUCCGUGGGUUUGUUCUCAAGCGUGAUCCCCGUCCUGCUGACACCGCGUCCCCAAAGCCGGGAACUCCUCCUUUCGACAUCCCCAUGGGCGCCGGGACAGCGCGUCCCGCUGCGCUCCGGUCCCGUCCCCUCGCCACACCCUCCCGUUUGCGGGAACACCCGGCAAUCUCUCCAUCUCCCAGGCUCCGCGUCACCCCGUUAUCUCCCGGGACGCUCUGCCAAGUCCCUAUCUCUGGGAGAAGCCCCACCAGGAAGCUGCUGGGGGGAGGUCUCUGUACCCAGGAGGAAAAACUCCCUUGUCUGGGGUGAGAUCUGCCUGCGCCGGGACCUUCUGUGCCGCCACACAACCGUGGCACCCGCCGCCCGCGGGCACAGCGGCUCCGCCAACCGCACCAACACCGUAAACCAGCUCAUUAAAUGAACCUAACUGCCGAUUUUAGGUAUCAACCA